GGAGAACGCACACAAGCACAGACGGGGCGGAUACAGCGAAGAGAGCCUUCUAAAAGGAAGAAGCGGCAGCACAAGCCGCGCACGCGCAUACAGAGCAUCCACACAUCCCAAACGCCAAGCGGGAAGUGAUAGCAUGGAAGCAGGGCAAGCGUCCUCGAGCGAUCUGGCGCCGUGGUGGUGGUCACACCGCAGCAUUGUUGAAGAGGCAGAGCCUCUCGACGCCACGGCCGACGACGCCGCCGCCAGCUGCCUCUCCGUCAUCGCCAAGCAGACAGCGAACCACGUUCUCGCCUACAAGAAUGACCUCCUGGCCCUGAUUGGGGAAGUGCACCCCGCGAGGAAGGGCAGUGCCGACAGCGUGUCCCAGCACAACAGGGACGUUGGCACCUGCGGCCUCUACCAACAAAUGAAGUGGGAUGGCGUCCUCCUGCCCCUUCUCACGCAGCUCCGGAAGUGCAUGGCCCGGGCCUGGGAGGAGCGCGCCGCCGAGCAGGCAGAGCAGGCCGCCGAUGAUACGACGCCGGCAUCGGCGGCGGGGGUGGCAAGAAGCGGUGCCAAGGUCAUGCCAACCGCCCACGUCGACGCCGUUCAGGCCCGCCGCCUGCGUGCGCUCCAGCAGCAGAUCUACCUCGCCUUCUUCAAGGCAGUCCUGCAAGGAUUCACAGACGGCGCCCGCGGCGCCACAGAGACGGGUGCAGGCACAAGCAACGCCGUAGCCGGUGAGGAAGAAUGCAGUGCGGACGUACAAGGCCGGGGGAGAUCCAAGACGGCAGACGUGGCGCCGGCAGCCCGCGCUCUGUCACUGCUGCUGGACAGUCUUCUCACUCAUGUUCUGAGUUUUGCGACCGCUGGCGCGGCGGCGGCAUCGCCACACGUGGAAGAAGAGGCGACAAAGUCCCGCCGCGGUCAGCAUCGCCGCGCCGUAGCUGCUACAGGCACUCACAUCGGCGACUGGCUCACUGGUAUGUUGCCGCUGUACCUGCGCGCUUCUUAUCAACAGCAGCAGCGUGCUCAUGAUGAUGUUACCGAGCAAGAGGAGGUCGCCUUGGCGUCUACAUCAGCUCCGCUGAUUCCUUCACCUGCUCUCUGCCUUGUGAGCUACAUCGGUGCCUUCGUGCAAGGGUCAGGACUGCAGCUUGUUUCCUCAGAGCAGGAGGAAUACCUGCCCUGUUUCACGCGCAAGGUGCACUCAGAGUUCAGUGAUCAGCUUCGAAGCUUCGUGCAGGCCGCGGUCGUACAGUCUGAGUAUGCUGCUGCUGGUGUGGCCAGCUCGGAUGCAGUGGCGGCGGCGGCGGCGCACAUUCGCUACGCCGGUGAUGUGUUGAAGGCCAUCAUCGACAUGCAGCUCUACAACGACGACAACGUCACGGAGGUGGGUGAGGACGACUGUACGAUCACCUAUGCUGCCGUUCCGCUCCCGCCGGCGCUGCGGGCACAGCCGCAACAGUCAGAAAUGCCAAUCAAGGUGGACUACAGCGUGGCCCCUCUGCUCGUCCUUACCUCCUACAAGGUAUGCGAGCAACUUCUUCGGCUGAUGAGCCGCUGGUGGGUCGCCUGCCAGCACAUGGCGCGGCACGCACGCAUGUCCGUGGCUGCGGCGGCGCCGCGUAUGGAAGAAGAGGGCAAUGUCGAGGGAGAAAAGCAGCAGCAGCAGGGAGCUGACGGUCCCACCAGUGGCAACGACACAAGCCGCCUCGCAGAGGUCGAGGAGGCUUGGAUGGGGCUGCGCAAGCAGGCCAUGGCUUUCACGCUCGUCCUCAGCACCUACGGCGAGACGACGCUCCUGAUAGCCCCGUACGCGGCCUUCCUCACGAACUUUUUCUUCACGCCUCCGCCGGACGACUCCGCGCCGCCUGCUGAGAAGCAGACGCCGCUUUCGUUGGAGGCAUGGAAAAGCUGCGUCCGUGAGCUGCACCGCGUCACGCACGCUACUCAGGACGGCGGCUACGCUCUCUUCACGCACACCACCUGUGGGGCACGUCGGCAGAUGCGCGUGCACCACCGCCACGCGCGGGACUGCACAUUUGCCACGGCGUGUUUCUCUCGUGUGAUGGGGUGCCUCAGCUACCCCUCAACGGGUGCGCAUGUGCCUGGGCAAGCCGCCGCAGCUGGAACGGAUCUCCAAUCCCACAGCACGGGGUCCCACAGUCUUCUUCCGCUUGCCUUCGCCGCACUUCAGCAGCCGCUGUCAGUGAUGCAGGAGUGCGUGUUUCAGCUGCUUCUCAGAGUGGGCAGUGUGGCGCUGGGUGUCCGUGUUGACGCGGUGGUGCGUGAAAAAGGCGGCGCAGGGGAUCCUGGCGCCACGCCAGACGCCUCCGACGCCGACCUCUCCACGCAGUCGCCCAGCAGCGACGCCGCCACCACCACCAGCGCCACGCGUGUCAACGCUCUGACGGAUGAGCUGCUGUCUGCGGUGCAGCUCGUCGAGCUGUACUUUCCUCGCCAUUACCGAGCCUUUUCAUGCCUGGAUCAGGCCAUGCAGUACGUGCUGGACCGCUUUCCGGAACUCGCCGGCGACAGCACGGCCGUAGAAGAGGCGGCGGACGGUGAUGUCGCGCGAAUGUGGGCAUCACCUCGCGCCCUCCCCGCAACGCUCGCGAGCUUCUUCGGCGCAGCGCUGGAUGAGGCCUGCGUCGCACGCAUGCGCAACACCGGUGACGAGGUGGCCACAAGCGAGCUCCUCAUGUUCUUUGCAGCCGUCUUCCGAACGCUGCCAUCCACGGUGCUACCUCGCCUGCGCGCUGCGCUGGCAACGUUUCUCGGCGAGGGUGGGUGUACUAUAAUCGAGUACCUGCGCCAUCACAUUGUCAAGCAGCAGCGCCACGGCCUCGCCGCCUUCUUUGUGCCGCCGCUGCGUGCUAUGGCUCUCGACUACGCCACCGCGGAGGACGUGGACGUGAGUCUUGCGCUGACAGCCAAAUAUCCCUCCGGCUGUGCAAUGGCCUAUGCAUGGGAGCUGCCGCGGCUGUACUUCUGGCGAGCCGAAGACACCCCAGUGGCGGAGUCGGCAUGGCACGCGCACAGGGCUGCUCAGCGGUAUCUGUGCGAGCUUGUCACGGCAGCGCCUGCCGCCAUCUCCACGUCUUCUGCCCCAUUCCUGGCCAUUCUGCAGGAGGCGGCAGCGGUGGCGAACGGGCGGUUUGCAGAGCCUCACGAGAGCGCCAAGAUGGCGUCGGGGCUGCUCUGGACGUGCAGCCUGGCGAUUGAUGUGAUGACGUCUGUGUUCUUCGGUAUGUGUCGCUGGUGUGCGCUACAGAUGAGCGUGUCGUCAUCGUCGCUGUCUGCGGAGGCGGCGGCGACGGUGAUUCAGCAUCUGUGCUAUCCGCGCCCGACGUCGGUGGCGUUAUUGUCGCCCCACGUUGUAGCGCAUCCUUUUCUUCUCUCUCUACGAGAUCGUGUCAAGGUGCAGCUGGGCAGCAAUGUGGCGGAGGCUGCUGAAUCAGAAGGCGCCGUCGCCAGCACAGAGAGCGCCGAAGCUGUGAGCUCGCCCGGUGUUGCGUAUCCGCCACCCGCGCAGCAGCAGCUGCGCAGCAGCCACCGCUGGCUCUCCUGGUUCUGGGCCUGCACGUACGAGGAGGUGGACUCCGCUGCACGUGUGCAGACGGCCGCGAAACGACUCCUGCGGGAGUUCUCCGUUCAGUGCGGGUCGCACGCGCCAACGAAGACGCUCCUCGGAAUCCGCGCGAUGGUGGAGCAGCUGAAAAGGGAGGGUGCGCCAGACAUGGCCGUGGCGGUGCACGAAUUGCGAGAGGCAGUCCGCGGUGACCUGCGCGCGUUGCUGUUGCAGCAACAGCAACGCGAAGCGUCAGAAAACGAGAACGCCACGACUGUCGCAUCCGCCGAGGACACGAAGGAGGCGACGAUUACGACGACCACGACCACCAGCUCCGCCGACGCUGCAGGAGCCGUCCUUAAGUCAGCCACACUGCGUGACUAUCUCGAUCAGAUGCACGAGGCCCUCGUUCAGCGUGCGCGUAUCUCGCCGGUGGACGGCGCUGUCAGCGCCGCCACGCUCGGUCAUCUCCUGCACGUUCUGAGCGACGCGCAUCUGCCCAUCACGAUGAGUGUGCAAGAGCGGCAGCGCAUGUGUCAGCGCUUCUUCUUCACGCUCGCGAACUCUCUAGCUGAGUGCACCCGCACCGAAGCGCUGUCCUCCGUGUGUUGUCUGCGGUGUGUCCUGCAAGAUAUUGUGCUGCCGUACAAGAAGAGUUUCUUGAUCGAAGCCAGUGCAGCGCGCGUAUAUUAUCGCUGCUUCUCCGACACGGAGGCAGACGCGUUCCGCAUGGUGCAGCAUAUGUGCGGCGACGUCAUCAUGGCUGUACAGAAGAUUGCGCUGCGAAACGGUAUUCUUGACGAGUGGAAGAUCGUGCUGGUGUUGCAGCACCUCGGUGAUCCGCUGUCGCUCGUGCGCAGCAUGGUGGAGAAGCUGCGCAGCACCGUAGAGAAGCUUAAGGCCCGGCGCAGGGGUGCCGUCAUGGACAUCAUCGCGCAGCAGCUGGCAGUCGUGGAGAAAAGCGCGGCACGCACCGACUGCGGCGUCGCCGAUGACGUUCACUGUCUCUUUACCCUUCACCCACGGCCAUCGUCCUCCUCUUCUCCCGCGGCGAGAGCGGCAGAAGGCCCCACGACCGCCUCGUCCGCCGCCGCCGCGCCAGUGGAACGUAGCAGCAGCGGCCGGAGAAAGCGCGGAGACCGUCGAGAGAGAGAGCAGCGCAACGAGAAGGACCGCAAGAAGAGCCGCGACGACCGUGGUGGUGGCGAUGGUGACGAGAAACCGUGGCAAAAGCCUCGAACGAAGGACAGCAAGCGGUAUCGUGCCGACUUCAAGCGCCCACGUCGCUGAGCAGCAGUACAGGGAGCCGCCCUGUACACGGGCGGGGGGACGCAAGUGGUGCUGUGGAAGGCGGCUCUCGUGUGUAAUGUGCGGGUGGGUGUAUGUGUGCCGGGAGGCGUCUCUUGAGAAGCUUCGGAACGCCGAGUAAACGGUGAGCGGUGCUCGGGUGGUUGGGUAGCUGUUUGGUUGUUCAUCUUGAGUGAACGAAUAAACACGAAGCGAGAUGACGGGCGGUUCGGGAGGUAGAGAGGCGCUGAAGAUGGAAGCCAAUGCAGGCGAUUCUGCAGCACGGCGGGCAGCUUCCCUCCCUCCGACCCUGCUGUCGUGUGUGGCAAGCGCCUCGCCUCCAUCUAUCCCCGCUCCCUCUCGGUCUGUCGUGGCUUGAAUAUGCCCUCUGCCAAAGGAAGCACAGAAAGCGUGGGGUGAGGGGGGCUGCACACGCGCGCGCACCCAUGCGCAAGCGCUGGUGGGGCUUGGAUGACAUAGGCGAUGCAAAAGACAACGGGAGGACACGGCCGUGGGAGGGCUAACGAAGCUGAUGGAGGAGGUUAGGGAAUGGGAGAUGGAGCAGAGGGAGAGAGGGGGGAGCAUGAGCGUACAGAAAGGGCGACCGCAACCAGCAGCAGCGGAAUGGUGAUGAGAGAUGUGUCGACUUUGUGCACCCCUCUCUCGCUUCGCACUCUUCCCUCCCCCUCCUUGCCCAGCUUUGCCGCAGGCGCGCCCUCAAACGCGCACAAGCAGCCUUUCCCUCAUGCUCGGCGGUUCCAGGCGCAUGUCCAUCAGUGAUCGCCAUCCUGACGUCGUGCCAUGCUCGCUCAAAUCGUCUCGCGCACUUACACUCUCUUACUCUCCAUCGAUUUCGCAUAUUACAAG
Molecule: unclassified non-coding RNA, 5707 nt
Filed under: Leishmania donovani
Lineage: Eukaryota; Euglenozoa; Kinetoplastea; Trypanosomatida; Trypanosomatidae
Description: gene:LdHU3.25.2240(CDS-product:hypothetical_prote in_conserved)
Source: RNAcentral